This 644-nucleotide ribosomal RNA is filed under the name uncultured Alphaproteobacteria bacterium. Its description in RNAcentral is "bacterial SSU rRNA". It matches the Rfam family "Bacterial small subunit ribosomal RNA", at positions 191 to 856 of the family's 1533-position model. The record is from RNAcentral. Lineage: Bacteria; Pseudomonadati; Pseudomonadota; Alphaproteobacteria.
CCCUUUCGGGGGAAAGAUUUAUCGCCGAAAGAUUAGCCCGCGUCCGAUUAGCUAGUUGGUGGGGUAACGGCCUACCAAGGCGACGAUCGGUAGCUGGUCUGAGAGGAUGAUCAGCCACACUGGGACUGAGACACGGCCCAGACUCUUACGGGAGGCAGCAGUGGGGAAUAUUGGACAAUGGGCGCAAGCCUGAUCCAGCCAUGCCGCGUGAGUGAUGAAGGCCUUAGGGUUGUAAAGCUCUUUCGCUCGCGACGAUGAUGACGGUAGCGAGAGAAGAAGCCCCGGCUAACUUCGUGCCAGCAGCCGCGGUAAUACGAAGGGGGCAAGCGUUGUUCGGAAUUACUGGGCGUAAAGCGCACGCAGGCGGUCCUCCAAGUCAGAAGUGAAAGCCCUGGGCUCAACCCGGGAACUGCUUUUGAUACUGGGGAACUGGAAUCACGGAGAGGGUAGGGGAAUUCCGAGUGUAGAGGUGAAAUUCGUAGAUAUUCGGAAGAACACCAGUGGCGAAGGCGCCUACCUGGCCGUCGAUUGACGCUCAUGUGCGAAAGCGUGGGGAGCAAACAGGAUUAGAUACCCUGGUAGUCCACGCCGUAAACGAUGAGUGCUAGAUGUUGGGGUGCAUGCACUUCAGUGUCGAAGCUAAC